This 253-nucleotide ribosomal RNA is filed under the name uncultured bacterium. RNAcentral's name for it is "partial 16S ribosomal RNA". It matches the Rfam family "Bacterial small subunit ribosomal RNA", at positions 524 to 776 of the family's 1533-position model. The record is from RNAcentral.
UACGUAGGGGGCUAGCGUUGUCCGGAUUUAUUGGGCGUAAAGAGCUCGUAGGCGGUUUGUCGCGUCGAAUGUGAAAACCCGGGGCUCAACCCCGGGCCUGCAUUCGAUACGGGCAGACUAGAGUUCGGUAGGGGAGUCUGGAAUUCCUGGUGUAGCGGUGAAAUGCGCAGAUAUCAGGAGGAACACCGGUGGCGAAGGCGGGACUCUGGGCCGAUACUGACGCUGAGGAGCGAAAGCGUGGGGAGCAAACAGG